Molecule: ribosomal RNA, 465 nt
Filed under: uncultured bacterium
Lineage: Bacteria
Description: partial 16S ribosomal RNA
Rfam family: Bacterial small subunit ribosomal RNA
Source: RNAcentral
CCUACGGGAGGCAGCAGUAGGGAAUCUUCCACAAUGGGCGAAAGCCUGAUGGAGCAACGCCGCGUGGGUGAAGAAGGUCUUCGGAUCGUAAAACCCUGUUGUUAGAGAAGAAAGUGCGUGAGAGUAACUGUUCACGUUUCGACGGUAUCUAACCAGAAAGCCACGGCUAACUACGGGCCAGCAGCCGCGGUAAUACGUAGGUGGCAAGCGUUAUCCGGAUUGAUUGGGCGUAAAGGGAACGCAGGCGGUCUUGUAAGUCUGAUGUGAAAGCCUUCGGCUUAACCGGAGUAGUGCAUUGGAAACUGGGGGACUUGAGUGCAGAAGAGGAGAGUGGAACUCCAUGUGUAGCGGUGAAAUGCGUAGAUAUAUGGAAGAACACCAGUGGCGAAGGCGGCUCUCUGGUCUGUAACUGACGCUGAGGUUCGAAAGCGUGGGUAGCAAACAGGAUUAGAUACCCCUGUAGUC